GAUGAACGCUGGCGGCGUGCCUAAUACAUGCAAGUCGAACGAAACUUCUUUAUCACCGAGUGCUUGCACUCACCGAUAAAGAGUUGAGUGGCGAACGGGUGAGUAACACGUGGGCAACCUGCCCAAAAGAGGGGGAUAACACUUGGAAACAGGUGCUAAUACCGCAUAACCAUAGUUACCGCAUGGUAACUAUGUAAAAGGUGGCUAUACUACCGUUUUUGGAUGGGCCCGCGGCGCAUUAGCUAGUUGGUAGGGUAAAGGCUUACCAAGGCAAUGAUGCGUAGCCGAAUUGAGAGGUUGAUCGGCCACAUUGGGACUGAGACACGGCCCAAACUCCUACGGGAGGCAGCAGUAGGGAAUCUUCCACAAUGGGCGAAAGCCUGAUGGAGCAACGCCGCGUGGGUGAAGAAGGUCUUCGGAUCGUAAAACCCUGUUGUUAGAGAAGAAAGUGCGUGAGAGUAACUGUUCACGUUUCGACGGUAUCUAACCAGAAAGCCACGGCUAACUACGUG
RNAcentral lists this ribosomal RNA (512 nucleotides) under uncultured bacterium. RNAcentral describes it as "partial 16S ribosomal RNA". It matches the Rfam family "Bacterial small subunit ribosomal RNA", at positions 28 to 507 of the family's 1533-position model. The record is from RNAcentral.